UGGAAGUUGUUCACAGUUGCCACAUGCUAUUAGCUUCAUCUCUACUAGAUUCGGUAGCAUCAAGUUCAAGUUCAUCAUCCACUUUGGAAAUUUUGAACCCCCAUAUCCAAUUAAUCUCAAUUCCUUCAGAUUUGAAUGAGGUUGAAGCCCAUCAAGGACAUCCUCAUUAUUUUCAGCUGAUUGCACACAAGUAAAAGGGCGGCGACCUCCAUUCUCAUUCCAACAUAAAUUCAGUGAUAGAAGAGUUGUCUUCAACAUCAAAUUGGCACUUCUGGCAUCUGUUAAAUUCUUAACAUUAACAAGAUCUGUGAUGCUUAGUUCACCAGCAAGAUUAUUCAGCCUUUCUAGCUCCCCUAAGUGACGACCAUCCUCCUUACCCACAAUGAACAGCCCAAGUUUUCGCAGGCAUGUUAAUUGCCCCAUUCCAAAUGGCAUAAAUCGAAGUGAAUGACAGCCCGUGAUGUCAAGAUAGAUGAGACUUUCCAUAUGCUUCAUACCUCUAGGUAAUUCGAUGAGCAGUGUACAAUGACUCAGAUUUAGUGUCUGAAGAUUUUGGAGGGAGGUGAUUGAUGCAGGCAAUUUUUCAAUGUGGGAAUAGGAGACAUCUAGAAACCUUAGAUGUUUCAAAUAACAAAUUGACUUUGGCAAUGUAUUGAGAUGGAUACCUAUAUGCAAGGCUCUCAGAUGCUUUUGUUGGGUGAAAUAAAGAUGCAAAUCAUCACUCACAAGGCGUGUGUGAUGAUAAACUCCAGAAAGCAAAAUUGAGCGUAGAGACCUAGAUUUGAAAUCCUUGUCUUCUGGAACAAACUGUGAUGUCCUGUAUGCACCCACAUGACGAAUUGUUUUAGGAAUUUGCAACUUUGUAUUGCCCUCAAUCAAACAACAUUCUCUCUUCAUAAUGUACUGUGCAAGAUCAUGGAUAAGAUCGUGCAUUUUACAUGUCAUGUAGCCCAGCGCAUCAUCCCUGACUUCUUGAAAAAAAGACCUCCCAACUAAUUCGUGGAAAAUCUCUUCACCCUUAUCGUGCAAAUCCAUUUGCCCAGUGCUCGAAAUGAAGCCAUUUGCCAUCCAUAGAGCUACCAACCGCUCCUUCCGAAUGACAUAAUCUUUGGGGAAUAUAGAGCAAAAUGCAAAGCAUUGCUUCACAGCUGGCUUUAGAUUCAUAUAACUCAAACUCAAGGCAGGUAAUAAUAUCUGGCUUCCUUCAUUUGGCAGAUCCCAAAUCUCACUUUCUUUGACAGACAGCCACUCCCUUUCACUUUUCUUCGAGCGCAUCAGGCUUCCGACUGCUCUUAUAGCCAACGGAACUCCGCUACACUUCUUAACUAUCGCUGCUCCAAUGUUUUCCAAGUGACCGUACUCCUCUCUCCUUCUCAUACCAAAUGCAAGCAGCUUAAAUAAAAGCCAGGAAUCCUCAUCCGACAAUGUUUCCAUAUGUUGAACAGGAUUUGUGGCCAUUUUUUCAGCCAUAGUUCCCAAACGAGUAGUCACAAUAACUGCACUUCCUUUAGCUCCACAGCUCAAUGCAUCUUUCAACUUGCUCCAGUUAUCAUGGUCAUCAUCCCAAACAUCAUCCAAUAUGAGCAAAAACUUCUUACCACGUAAAUUUUCUUGGAGGCAUCGUAGAAGAGCAUCCAACUGUGGAAUAUUUGCAGUAGUGCGUUGAAUGGACUCGAUGAUGGCUGUUGUCAAUCUUUUUAUGUUGAAAUCAACUGAUACGCACACCCAAAUCCGCAAAUCAAAAUGCCCUUCUAUUCUUCCGUCGUUGUAGACUAACUGAGCAAGUGUUGUUUUACCCAAGCCCCCCAUUCCACAUAUAGCAUAAACAGAGAAAUCAUCUGAACUGGUGAGCAGCAUGUUGACCAGAUCUUCUUUCUCCUUGCCCCUUCCAUAAAUUCCUGAUUCAUCCACCCAUGACCAAGUCUGACGCCAAUCAAAACUAUCUGCUUCUAUCUCCAAAGCCCCUUCAAUUAAAUGGAAAUCGUGUCUCCCCUUGGCAAUGCGAUCUAGUGUUUCUGUAACAUUCUUCAAUUUACGAGCCAUCCUUUGUCGAAAAACAAGAGGAUUAUGAUUGAUAGAAAAGAAGGAUCUUAGCCAAUUUUUGAGAUCUCUUCGCUGCUGAUGCCACUGAGCUUCAAAAGCAAACUCAUCCAGUACAUCAUCAACAACAUAAGCUGCAUCCUUGAGGUCGCUGAGCCACACCUUGAUAUGCUUACUCUUCCACUGCUUCUCCUCUGCAUCUUGCAGCACAGCUUGAAUGGUUAUGAACGUGCGCUUGAGAUUUUCAAGCUCGGUCGUUAGGCCCCUAGCAAGUCCAAGCUCUUGAAGAACUAGGGAAUUCAAGUUCCCCAUUAUUGUACUCGCGAGAGCAGAAAGAAUUGCAUCACCCAUGGCUUGUUUUGGAAUGGAAAAGAAGAAGUAGAAAAGGUGCAAGGAAAACUAAAAGCAGGGGAGGUGAGCAAGAAAUGGCAAGUAAAAAUUGAGAAGACAGCAGUAUGAGAUGAAAAAUGGAAAAGGCAAACAGCAGUCUCUGAUUAUAUUGAUUAGGCUCCACACGGUGCAGGCUUGACUUGGCUAUGCCUAUAAUAGUAUAAUAAAGCAAUUGAAGUUUCAGAGAAGGAACAUAGCUGUGAUUUCAAGCAACAUUUGUCAAUUAUCGCAUGCCUUUUCCUGUUUUAAACAGAAACGUGAUUAACGCUUUUGGCUGUGAAUUCUCAAGGGUAUUUUUCUUUUCAAUAUAUUCUCCAUUAGUUAGAACACAGUGCAAAAAGUUUUUCAUAAAUGUGUUUUAAUCCUCGGUUAGAGUUAAUUUAUUCUUAAUGACAGUAGAAUGACAUCAUAAUCACAACUAAUCUCAAAAACUUAUUUAAUCAACUUAAUAUUAAAUAAUAAAAUAAAAUAAAAAAUCGAGGUAAUCAAGCAACCCGCGACCUGGACAAAUUCCAACAGGAACACAAGAUUGGUUAUGUAAAAAAGAAGUGCAGAAGGACCAAAUAAUUGCUCACUCCGUGGAAUAAACAAAUAUUAGUCUAUCUUGGACAUGAAUAGAGAAAGGUUAUUAUAUUUUCAAAUAUUUGUGAUUUGAGAGUUGGGGUUCAAUUUUAUCAAAAUAUUAAAACCGCUGUCUUUUAACUACACUGAUUAGGCUCCACACGGUGCAGACUUGACGAACAUUGAAUGUCUGUAUUAAAGCAUUGAAGUUUCUGAGCAGCGACACGGCUGUGAUUCGAAGACAACAUCUGUCAACUUGAAUUUCCUUGUUGGUUACUAAACGUCUUCUUCCCGCGCUUGCCAACCCGCGUGGCUCUACACACUUAAAUUUUAAAGAAUUACAUUAGGCUCCACACGGUGCUGACUUAACUAGCCAUGCCUGUAUUAAAGCAAUUGAAGGUUCUGAGAACCAACACAGCUGUGAUUAGAAGACAACAUUCCACCUUGAUUUUUCUUUUCAAUUGAAGUUUUUGCUUGCUCAAAUAAUUUAUCUAUGCAAAAGUCAAAAUGUAUUUUUAUAACGAAAUAAUUACUUUCUCAAAUAAUUCUGAUUACAAAACUUUAAAUACCAUUGAAAAUGAUUUUUCAAUAAGAAAAAUGCAUACAUGCCUAGUUGCUCAUAUGCUAAUGUACUUAUCCACUACUGUGCUAAUUUGUGAAAUAUUUUUGUCUACUGCGUAUAGAAAAAAACUCUCAAAUUUCUCUUUGUUCUCUGUUGUACCAUCAAAAGAAAAAUCCAAAGUGAUAAUGCAACAUCCAAAAGUAUAAAAUAUGGUAUAAAAACCAAAUAAAAAAAUAAUAAUUAGGGAUUAAAUUAAAAAAUAAAAUAAAAUAAGAAAAAAAUUUAAAAAUAGCAAUAAAAAGAAUAAAAACUAUUAUUUAAUGAAGAAAUUAAAUGAAAUAAAAUAUUGAGAGUUAAAAAUAAAAAACAAUAAAUCAAGAAAAUAAUAAGAAAAAAGAAAUUAAAAGAAUAAUGAUAAAAUUUAAAUUAAAAAAUUUUAAAAAAUAAAAUGAUAAAGGAAAAAAUAAAUCAAGAAAAGAGUAAAUUAUAUUAAAAAAAAACAUUAAACAAAACAAGAAUUAAAUUAGAUACCAAAACUAAAUAAAAUAACUGACUGGGCUCUACACAGUGCAGACUUUGACUAUCUAUGCCAAUUGAAGUUUCAGAGAAGUAACAUGGCUAUGAUUCGAAGACAACAUUUAUGAACUUGAAUUAGCUUGUCGGUUAGUGAAUGUCUGUGUCCCGCACUGGCCAAUCCGCGUGGGUCUCACACGCCAGGCAUGAAAGACAAGAAUGCCUCAAUCAGAUGCAUGAACAUAAAAGAUGGAAGAAAAGAAAAGAUGGUGGAGUCCUUUAGGUGGGUCUCCACGAAGAAAUUAUGCAACCAAGAGGCAAUGUACCCUUCACUUUCAUAUCCAAAGAUCGCAAAAUAUCUGAUCAAAACUGUGAUCCAAUUUUGCCCGUGUGAGAUGGAGGAACUUCCCGGAGGAGGGAGGGUUUUUAGGCGAGUUAAGCAUCUCCAAUAGAGAUGUUAUUUUAAAAAGAUAAAUUGAUAAAAUAAUAUUUUAAAUAGUAUAAAUAUAACUUUUUUUACGAUGUAUAUUUUAAUAGAAAAAAGUUAUUUGAAAAACCAAUUCUAUUAUAAUAGAAUAAAUAAGUGUUUUAUAUUUUUUUAAUAAUUUUGAUGUUAUUUUUUUUCUACAUGGCUAGAUUUAAUUGAUUUUUUUUUUUUUGCCCCACUUGGUUAAUUUUGGCUUUUUUAAAAGAUAUAUAGGAAUAAUAUUUAUGGAAAAGAAAAGGUAUUUUAGCAUUUUAUUUAGCUUUUUCUUUGAAGUAUAAAAACAAAUAAAAAAAAACCAAAAUAUUAUUUUUUUAUUUUUAAAUAUUUAUUUAGCCUCUCCAUUGGAAAUGCUCUUAAGGUUUGGUUUCAUUGCUAUGGAGGAACUUCCCGGAUUCCGGCUACAAGCCUAUCUACCUAUCUUUAACUUGUCCUUGUGGGUGUGAGUUGUGACUUCUGCUUCCAACAUAUGGAUUGUGCUUUAUAUAAUUUUAUAAAGAUCCAAAAUUGCAUGAAAAAAAAUAAAAAAAAUAUAAAACUUUAAAGAGAGAAAUAAUUAAGCGUUGAAGAGACACCAUAAUUCUAUUAUAGGGAAACUCUCAUGUUACUCUCCAACUUGUAUAUCCAUUCUCAAUUACAUUUAAAACCUACGAAUUUUUUCAAUUAGGUUCCAAACAUUUCAAAAUAUUCUCAAUUAGUGUUUUUUUUUUUUUUUUGUCAACGUUGUCGGUAUUUUUGUCAAAUAUUCUUAAAACCGAUGUCUGUUUUAGAGCAUAAAUAUACAUAUUGGAUAUAAAAAAUAUGAAUACUCGUAAAAAACAGUUCCUCUAUUUUUAAAAGAUAAAUUAAUUAAAUUUUUUUUAAAAAUAAAUUACCUAGUUCAUUGACCAGGUUACUUUUUUUAUAAUAUUUAUUUAUUCAUUUCCUUUCUUCUAUUUUCUUUUUAAAAAAAACGUAAAUGAACAGAAAGGACUAAAUAUAUAUAUUUUUUUUUAAAUAACUAAUUACUUCAUUUCUCAAAACUAAAAGGACUUAGUUUUAUAAUUUAGACCACAAGGGUGCAUUGGAAACCUUGGACUCCAAGGGUGAGUCAUCUCCACGUACUAUUGAGGAUUAGGAUGAAUAUUGAAAGUGACCUUACCUGCAACACGUGGUCGUAUGGUCUUUCAAUUUCAGGUGACACAUGGGUCCCACAAACCAUCAUCAUUUUAUUUCAUUUUCCCCUGCCUUGUGGAGAGAAAAAGAAAACCAACCAAGUCUUCUUCCUCCCUCUCUCCAGGACAGGAAGCGGGACCCAAUCUCAAAUACCCAACCCAAUCCUAGCCGUUGAUUGUUUUUUUCCUGGAUUCCUACUCUCUCUAUCUAGCUAUCUACCUGAUCCAGCUGGAUUUAGCUGUUACAAACUGUAACAAUCAUAUUUCACCCGCUUGAGUUGAGCUUGAGCUAUCUACCUAGCUAAGCCGUCGAGCAGUAAUAUUCAAGCCGACUUGAAAUAUUAGCUGCCAUUACGAUUUCCGUCACCAGUCUAACAUCUAAUUAAUAACUUUAAUAAUCAUUCAUUUCAUAUAUUAAUAACAAUAACAAUAAUAAUAUUGUACUCAAAACUUAUAAAUAAAAUAAAAAUUUUGAAUUUUUAAAUCUUAUAUAAGAUAAUAAUUCUUAUUAAAUAAUUUCUUACCAUCAUAAUCAUUAUAUUAGCCACAAUAAAAAUUAUCGGAUCUAGACAGUUAGGCAUAACCUCGAGCCCAGCUCGAUUAUAAAAAAAUAUUUCAGCUUUCAUCGCCCACAAACCUCCCUCCCUCCCUCAUUUUUUAUGGUUUAAUUCUAUAAUACACUUCAAGCUAUUAGGACAAUAUUGAAUUUAUAUUUAAACUAUUUUAAUUAUAAUUAUUCCGAGUCAUGAGAUCAUAGGUUGCUACAACGCAAUUUUUCUAUGGACAAAAUUUAUUUUAUAGUGCCGGCGGGGUAUCUUUUGAAGUGUUCAUGUAUAAAUUUGAAGCAAAGUAAUGAAGAGACGUGAGACAAUGCAGUAGUGAAACAGAGUUAUUUAUUCAUACCUCUUUCUUAUGAAGAGACGUACAUGUGUAUAUAUAGAGUGGGAAAAACUUGCAGCAAGGAAAGACAAUCUUGCAUAUAUUUUCUCCCAUGAUUAUUGCUAAGAUUAUAUGUUAAUAGUAAAUACACAAUCAUAUCUAAACUAGAUAACAAGUACUUGAUGAGUUGUUGCCAAUGGUUAGGUUUAAGAGAAAAACAUGGCAGCUCCUCCUUUAUGGGUAUGCUAUAUAUAUACUUCAUCUAACCAACAAAAGAGAAGUAAUAUAUUUUUCUUUGCAGAUAUCUAGAGACAAAGUUCUUCUCUGCAGUGAAGCCAAUGUAGGGGAGACCUGUAACCCUGAUUUUUUUUUUUUAAUUAAUAUGGUUAUUCGGGUUAGCUUACGCCUACUUCGAUUAAUUCUAUUGCAUGAACCUUGAAAUUAAUAACUAUAUAAGUCUUCAAUAAUCUUGAAAAUAUUUAAAUUCAUGAUCAUUAAAGAAUAAACUCAAAAUUUAACUUGUUGAGUUACCCCUCAAGAUUUCUAAUACCCUGACUCUUGUUUACACACAAUGCCGGCGGUGAUAGUUAGGGGUGAUCAUUUUCGAUUUGGUUCGGUUUGAUUUUUAUUAAAAAAAAAUAAUCAAACCAAUUUUUUUUUUUUAAACCAAAACUAGUUCAAACCAACCGGUUUUGGUUCGGUUUUUUAGGACAAAAAGCCGGUUUGGCUCGGUUUUCUUGGUUUUGACUCAGUUUUUUCUGGUUUUGGCUCUGGUUUUUUGAUUUGGCUCGAUUUUUUCUGGUUUGGGUCCGGUUUGGUUUGGUUUUUUGGUUUUAGACUUAUAAAACCAAAACCAAACCAACUGAUUUUUUUAAAAUUUUAAUUAAUUUUUUUCACGAUUUAAUUUUUUCAAUUAUUUUUUUCAGUUUUCUUAAUUUUUCGAUAUUUUUACUCACUCUAUCACUCUAUCGUAUGUUUUGUUUUUUACAGUAAAGAAGGCUGGUGUUCUUACUAUUAGUUUUUUUAUAUAUAUAUAAAUUAAAGAUCAUUAAUGGAAUCUGCUAUGGAAAGAAUAUUCAAAUAUUAGAGAAGUGCACAGGGACAAAAUAAUUGCUCACUCCCUGGAAUAAUCAAAUAUUAGUCUAUCUCGAACAUGAAUAGAGAAAGGAAGAAAAGAACACGUCAUGACUUUGAACAGAGAAAGUAAUAAUUGCCCAUUCGCCUUGAAAUUCUAGCUGUACAGCAUUUGGAAUUUCACGAGGCAAAAGAUUCUUAACAAUGAGUUAAAUCUCCCUUUUGAGGUGGUGACCUGACCUGUCGGAAUUGCUUUAUAGACAAGAAUGGAUUCAUGAGUCAUAUUCUACAAGAAACAAGCAAGUCAUUUGACUCACAUAAGAAAGAUGGAAAUAUAUUUCCCCUUUAAUAAAGAGCUAAAAGGGUACGCUAGAAAUUUAAAAUUUUUUAAAAGUACAGUCCAAACAUUGUAUAAUUACCCUCACAAACUUUCAAUAAUAGAUACCAUUUGUUACGCAUAAUUAUGGUAUUUCAAAUUACGCGUGCUUGCUGUGAUUUUCUUCCAUGCACAUAUCUCAAGUAAAUGAAAGCAGGCUUCUGGAACAUGAAGAACUGAGAGGUGCCCGUGCCCUUGCCUUUCAUACAGCGAAGCACCAAUCCAGGUCCGUUCAUGGCUUUUCAGCAAACAAGGAAACCAUUGGCGAUGCUUUUACAGAGUGCUCAAUCACUUUUCUAUUUUUUACAUUAGAAUUUAGAUGGAUACAGAGUGCUCAACCAUCGGGUUAUAAAUUUCAUUUUACUAACAAAACAAUGUUCCCGGGCAACACAUCUCCCCUCGAGUUAUAAAUUUCAUUUUACUUUUUUUUUCGUUACUGACAACGUAUAAAUUUCAAUUACUUAAUUUUUUACUGAAAUUUCAUUAUAACUUAAUAACAAAAUGUAGAUCAUAUAUACUAAGAUUCGCUCCAAUAGAAGCAAUGACCAUGAUGCAGUGACACAUGGAAAAGUUAUACAGUAAUGUAGGUCAUUCUCAGGCUUUUUUUUUAUUUUAUUUUUUUUGUAGUUUUUCUAAUAUACCCAUGACAGGGUAGACUUGUCCUAUAUAGACGAAUCAACUGUUAAAUGUUCCACAAAGAGUAUGGCAGGCCAAAAACACUCACUAUGUUUUGUUAUGUAGGCAUGCAGCUGCUCUUUCCAGGGCUUUCUCUUUGUUGUUUUUAACAAAAAAAGCAGAGAUAUUUACUCAAACCUUCUCAGGCAUUCAUAUCAAACGAACCCUAGCUACGUGUGAAGAAGAUUGAAAGAGAAUGAUCAGUAAGGAUACAUAGAGGAUUUAAAAGCUGUGAAAGCUUGCUCAUGUAGUCGCUGGAUGAAUUAAUCGAGGAGUUUACAAAUAGGCUGGAAUUGCAUCGACACUGAAAUUAACACCUUCAAUUCAAAAAUGAUUUUGACAUUUUGCAGAUAUGGUUCCUUAUCUACAGCUUAGUGAUAUUUAGAGAGAGUUUUCGGCAAAUGCAGCCCACAUUACUAUUCAAUCUCAUGAUGAUGCGUGGCAUCAGAUCGAAUUGUUGAGUUUUCGCGUUGAUAAUCUUCAAAUUUUCUGCAUUUGGACCUAACUGUGAGAUGAAUGGUUUUAUUCGUCAUGACUGUGCAAAAACUUAUUUAAAUCAUCGUUAUUUUCAAAUUAAAGAAAAAUAUUUAUGAUCACAUUUAGUUAAAAGUUACUCUUUAGAAUCAAAUUGAACUAGAUUUUUUAAUUCAUGUCAUCUCAACUAACUUUUAUCAAACGCUUAUAAGAUCAUAGAUCCUUAUGAAUAUAGUAUUUUUUGUAGUUGAAUAAUGGGUUUAAUCAAAUCUCCAUGCUAUUGAUUCAUUUUUCAUGACACAAAAAGGUGAUAGCUUGAUGUAAAAUUCUAACACUUGCAAAAUAGUUUUUUUUUAAUGGAUUUGAAUACCUUCAAAUGCUUAAUUAAGCAAGAGGAAAAUAUAUAAAUAUGCAAAAGAAUAUUAAAUUCUAAUAACAAAAUUAUUUUUUUGUUUUGAUAUGAAAAUAUGUAUUUUAUAAGAAAAUGAUGAGUGUAUGUUGAGAUUGAAAAUUAUAACCCUUAUAUGGAUAGUUUAAGGAGUAUCUAUACCCAAAAACAUUAUCAUUUUCCUUAAGUGAAGGGGUUUGAAUUAUUUCACCAUGAUAGCAUUAAAGAAGAACAAAAAUCUUUCAUAUAUAUAUAUAUAUUAUUAUAUAUUAAAGAGAAAUAUUUCUAACAUAAAUAUUUAAUAAAAUUUAAUACGUAAUAAAAACUCUUGUACACCGAAAAUAUAGAUUGAACAUGAUUCAACUAAAGAACUUGAAUAAAAUAAAAAUAUCAAGAAAUUUGAUACGGGUAGAAGCCACAAGACAAUGCUCAAAGGUAUUAAGCCUAGCAUGGGCCUAAAACCUUUUUUAAAAUGUUCUUCCUGAGUUGUCGUUAAAACAUGCUUGGAUUAACAUGUAAAAUGAUAAGAGAAUAAUAGAAUUUGCUGGAAUGAAAUUAUUAUUGAUUGCAUUGCAUAUUUAUAUAAGAGUAUCUACAUUUAUCUCUUCUACUAUGAAUCCAACACUUGGAAUUCAUUGUCCUAUAAAGAAUUAUUAUUACAGUAGGAAAUCAUGUAUAAAUUAUUCAUUCCUAAUAUAUCUCUAUCAGGAUUCCUAAUACUCCCCUUCAAGUCGAAGAGUGGAUGUCCUACACUCCCAACUUGUGAAUCAUGAAUGAAGACAUCUUUUACUAAGGGUUUGGUGAAGAUGUCUGCCAAUUGAUGGUCAAAAUGAACAUGUCUUGUUAUCAUAGAAUCAUCUUGAAUUUUUUCCUUGAUAGUGACAGUCCAUCUUAAAAUGUCAGGUGCACUCAUGAAACACUAGGUUGGCUACAAUGUGUAAUGCAACCUUGUUAUCAAUGUAGUAAAGCAAGUUCAUGAUGUAAAAGGCCUAAAUCCCUCAACAGACAUCGGAGCCAUGUCAACUCACAACAUGCUCCUGUCAUUGCACGAUACUUUGCCUCUGCAGAGGAGAGUAAGACUGUUUUUUGUCAUUUUGAUCUCCAGGAUAUCAAUAAGGGUCCAAGAAACACACAAUAACCCGUGGUAGACCUCUGAGUUAGUGGGCAACCUGCCCAAUCCGAGUCUGAAUAAGCUCUUAAUUUGUAAUCAGUGUGUGAAGGAAAGAAUAACCCUUGACCAGGAGCUCCUUUCAGAUAUCGGACAACCCGGAAAGCAGCUUCCAUAUGAAGCUUCCGGGGUUGGUGCAUGAAUUUGAGGAACUGCAAGUUCCUCAAUGGUGGAAGUUGUUCACGGUGGUCAACACAUUUCAUUGUAUAUAAUAAUAAUAAUAAUAAUAAAAUAAUAAUAAUGUACUCAAAAAUUUAGAAGUUAUAAAAUAAAGAUUUUUUUAUAUCUUAUAAGAUAAUAAUUCUUAUCAAACAAUUUCUUACCGUCAUAAUCAUUAUAUCAGCCACAAUAAAAACUAUCGGAGCCAGGUUGGCAUAACCUAGAGCAUUCUUGCGUAUUUUCUAAAAGAGAAAGAAAACAUUUUUUCAUGAUUUUUACUUUUUUAUUCUUAAAUAAACAAACAUUCAAAAUUAACUUAAACAUUAGGAUGCAACAACAACUCCAAUUCCAAAACAAAAAAUAACAAAAUAAUAUGAAAGCAAGUAACACUCAUAUUUAUACAUUCUAAAAAGAUAUACCCAUCGCUCUUGCGUGAGCUGCUCCAAGUGAUCUAGUCACCAUCAACCUCCAACAUCUCACUCAAGCAUUAGAAAACAUCUAGGCAUAAAACAAGCCCCAUGACUCACAUAAAAAAAAUAUUUCAGCUUCCAUUGCCCAGAAACCUCCCUCCCUCCCUCAGUUUUUAUGGUUUAAUUCUAUAAUAAACUUCAAGCUAUUAGGAUAAUAUUGAAUUUAUAUUUAAACUAUUUUAAUUAUAAUUAUUCCGAGUCAUCAGAUCAUAUGUUGCUACAACGUAAUUUUUCUAUAGACAAAAUUUAUUUUAUAAUGCCGGUGGGGUAUCUUUUGGAGUGUUCAUGUAGAAAUUUAAGCAGAGUAAUGAAGAGACAUGAGGCAGUGCAAUAGUGAAACAAAGUUAUUCAUUCAUACCUCUUUCUUAUGUUGUACAUGUAGAGUGGGAAAAACUUGCAGCAAGGAAAGACAAUCUUGCGUAUAUUUUCUCCCAUGAUUAUUGCUAAGAUUAUAUGUUAAUAAUAAAUACACAAUCAUAUCUAAACUAGAUAACAAGUAAGUUAUACUUGAUGAGUUGUUGCCAAUGGUUAGGUUUCAGAGAAAGACAUGGCAGCUCCUCCUUUACGGGUAUGCUAUAUAUAUACUUCAUCCAACCAACAAAAGAGAAGUAAUAUAUUUUUCUCUGCAGACAUCUACAGACAAAGUUCUUCUCUGCAGUCAAGCCAAUGUAUGGGAGACCUGUGACCCCUGACUUUUUUUUUUAAUUAAUAUGGUUCGAUUAAUUCUAUCCCAUAAACCUUGAAAUUAAUAACUAUAUAAGCUUUCAAUAAUCUUGAAAAGAUUUAAAUUCAUGAUCAUUAAAGAAUAAACUCAAAAUUUAACUUGUUGAGUUACCCCUCAAGAUUUCUAAUACCCUGACUCUUGUUUACACACAAUGCCGGCGGUGCUAGUUAGGGGUGAUCAUUUUCGAUUUGGUUCGGUUUGAUUUUUAUUAAAAAAAAAGUAACAAAACCAAUUUUUUUUUUAAAAAAACCAAAACUAGUUCAAACCGACCGGUUUUGGUUCGGUUUUUUAGGACAAAAAGCCGGUUUGGCUCGGUUUUCUUGGUUUUGGCUAGGUUUUUUCCGGUUUUGGCUCUGGUUUUUUGAUUUGGCUCGGUUUUUUUGGUUUGGGUCCGGUCCGGUUUGGUUUUUUGGUUUUAGACUUAUAAAACCGAAACCAAACCAACCGAUUUUUUUAAAAUUUUAAUAAGUUUUUUUCACGAUUCAAUUUUUUCAAUUAUUUUUUUUCUAGUUUUUUUAAUUUUUCGAUAUUUUUACUCACUCUAUCGUAUGUUUUGUUUUUUACAGUAAAGAAGACUGGUGUUCUUACUAUUAGUAUUAUAUAUAUUAUAUAUAUAUAUAUAUAUAAAUUAAAGAUCAUUAGUGGAAUCUGCUAUGGAAAGAAUAUUCCGUUAGCAAUUCUAAUUUUUUAGAUUUUUUUAAUUUCGACAACAAUUUUUAAUGCUAGCAAAAUAUUUCAUUGAUAUUUUUAUUGGUAUUAGAAAUCAUUAACGAGAUAAAAAAGUUUAAUGAGCAACUUUUUAAAGAUAAUAUUUCAUUAGUAAUUUCAUUGAUGUUUUCAUUGGUGUUAGAAAUCAUCAAUAAUUUCUAAUAAUAACAAAAUUCUCUCUAAAUACUGAUAUAAUAUUCUUUUAACAUUCCUUAAUUUUGUGCUAGUGUUUAACGUAAAUAACUUCCUUUUGUUUUUCAAUUAAACAAAUUAUCAUACUUUAAAUUGCAUACUGAUAUAUUUUUUUUCUUACUUUAAAAAUUAACUUAAAAACUUACAUGUAGUAUAACAAGAGUUAUUGCACCAAUGAGAACUAAAUACCAUUAUCUUGUAAAAAAAAAAAAAGUAGGUUGCAGUCGAGAAAUAAUUUAUUUCCAUUUUAAUUUUGUAUUUUUGACAAUGUUUUAGGUUUUUUUGGGCUAAUAAAUUAUUAUUUUUUUAAGUUUUAAGGAUGUUGAUUAAUUAUUUUUUUGAUGAAAAUAAUGAAAAUAAAUUUUUAGAUAAAAAGAACAUCCUCUCAAUUUUUAGUCACUUUUACUAGAAUUUAGAUGUGGAAGUUACACGUCAUUUGUUUCUUAAAAAAAUUAGAAAGAUGACAAAUUUGAAAAAAUAAUGAAAAAAGCCUUGAGAUGCAGUGGCAUAGGCUAGCAGACCCGCAUGCUUAGACUUAUUUUUAAAGGUUCCAUCUUGCUAAGCCACAGGACGUGUACCUUGCUUUUAUUAAAAAAAAAUUCCAAUAAUUUUGGUUGUGAUUUCUUAAAUUUUAAUUAAUCAAAUAUUUAUUAGUUAUAUUAUUUAUUAGAUUCUUAAAGUGAUUAAUUAUAUAUUUAGAUAUUAUUUUAGUUAAAGUGAUCAUUUUUUACCAUGUUUUAGAAUAAAAUUAUUUCUGAACGUGCGGUUGAGAUUUUCAAGCUCGGUCUCUAGGCCCCUAGCAAGUCCAAGCUCUUGAAGAAUUGGGGAAUUCAAGUUCGCCAUGAUUGUACUCGCGAGGCAGAAGUAAUUGCAUCAGCCACAGCUUGUUUCGAAUGGAAAAUAUUGGAUGUUGACAAGAAGAAGUAGAAAAUGUGCAAGGAUAACCAAAAGCAGGGAUGAGGAGACAGAGCAGUGUGGCAUGAGAAAUGGCAAAGGUGAAAGUGUCUGGUGAUGGUCUUUACUCUUGCUAUUGAUCAAUUCUUCAUUACAUUAAACACAUUAUACGUUUGCAAAAAACCCACCAAAGACCACACCUCCCAUCUAAACUGCCGUCCUUGACUAUUAUAUUGAUUAGGCUCCACACGGUCGAGACUUGACUAGCUGUGCUUCCACCAUUGGAGAUAAGGUUUACAGGAUCAUAAAGCCUUGCCGUUUUGGCACCUGAUGCCAACAUUAUUGGCCUACAGAAAGACAAGUGGACAUCAAAACUACUAAAGGCCAAUCACCGCCAUGCGAGUAAAGAUAUGUUUCGGUUUGAAUUUUUUUUUUUUUUUAGAUCAAGGGAAUAUAAUGAGUCAUGUAUACAAAUAAAAUUACCGAGAUAACUGAUUUCGUUUGUAAAUCCAUCAAUAAAUUCAUUAAUAAACUGUUAACUUUUUCCUAAUACUAUUUAUCAUGUCAAUUACAAAUGAAAUUAUUGACGAAAUAUUCUAUUAAUAUUUCUUAAAAAACUUUGCAACUGUUUACUUUUUAAUUGCACUAUUAAUUAUUAUUCUUUAUAGAUAAAAUCACUGACGGAUUGAAAAUUCAUCAGUGUUAUUUGGUGGGUUUCUGAAAUUUUUUGAUUAAAUUAAAUAUUACAGACGGAAUCACCGAUAGAUUGAAAAGUCGUAGGUGAUAUUUGGCUAUUUCUAAAAAUUUUAUAUUAAAUUGAAAAUUUAAAUUAACUAUUACAGAAGGAAUAAUUGACAGAAUGAUUAAAAAUAUUAAUAUUUAAUUAUUCAUCGGUAAAACGCCCAAUAAAAAGACUAGAAUCCCUUAUUUCACAAUAGACGUGCCUCUUUUUUCUUCUUCUUUUUUUUUUUUUUUUUUUUUUAAAUCAACAUCUCUUUCUUUCUCUUCUCUCCUCAACUCCUUAUUUAUUUAUUUAAACAAUGCUAACUGGGUUGAGUCCACUGUUCCGGUUGGACCGGGUCCGAUUAAAAGCUAAAAAUGCAUUGAACUGGGUCCAAUCCAGUAAAAUAAAAAUAUUAUUUUUUAUUUUUAAUUGUGUUUUAUUUUAAAAAAUAGUGUUUAACGUUAUUCAAUGACACUACAUAAAUUAUACGGGGAUUGCUUAAUGACGUAGUAUUUACAUAACUUGAUCGUAAUCCCCAUUUUAUUCCUGAUGUUGUUGCGCGCUUAAGAAACUAAGAAAACUGUAGUCCUUGUCGGAUGUAUUUCAUACGCGAUGAAAUUGUAGAUAGUUUAAUGAAACAAUAAAAAAUAUUUUAUAUAAAGUAUUUUUUUAUUUUAUGAUGUAAUAGCAGUAGUUAAAUCUGUAAUAUUUAAAUUAAAAACCAUCAAUAUUAAUAUAUAUUUUUUGAAAUUAUUUUAUAACCUCAAUUUGAAAAGUAUUCUUAACCAAAUACAUUAAACUAUUUUUUAGUUCAACUUUAAUUUUAACCAAACAUAUAUAAAUAUCAAACCAAUCUCAACUAAAAAUACUUUUUAUAAAAUAAUUUUUUUCAAAUCACAACCAUAAAAGCUAUCACAAUACCAAACACACUCCGGGUGCGUUUAUUUUCUAGAAAGUGGUUUUCCAGAAACCACUUUUCAAACUUUAUUGUAUUUGUUUGCCAUUAUGAAAGUUGGUCAACGAAAAACACUUUCCAGUCAAAGAAAAAUUUGGCUUGGUUUCUAGGAAAGUGUUUUCCUUUUAUUUUGGGCGGAAAACACUUUCCAGAAGUUGUGAAAAAUUUAGAAAUGUCAUAUUAUUUACUAAUUAUAUUAAAUUUGGUUCUCAAACUUUUGAUUGUUACAUAUAUUUUGUUUUGAAUAUUUGUUUUUCAAUUUCAUCCCUUAGAAUUGAAUUUUUAUAUAAACUUUGGUUCUUAUUUUUAUUUUGCUUUUCCCUUAUCAUUUUUUAAUUGGAAUUUUUUAUCUAUCAAAUCUGGUCCUCAUUUUUUAUUGUUAUUUUUUUAUUUGAAAUAAUUUAUGAAAUGUUAAUUAUUAUUAUUUUAAUUCUUCAUCUUUUAAUUUUUUUAUUUUUUAGAUUUGAUCUCUAUUAUUUUGAUUAUUAUUUAUUUUAUUUGAGAUAAUUUAUGAAAUUAUAUAUUUUUUUCAAUUUAUUCUCAUUCAACUUUUUAAUUUGUAAGAUUUGUUGUUCAUUAUUUUAAUAAACUUGAAAAAAUAAAAUAUUAAUAAGUUAUUUUCCAGCUUAUUUUCCACGACAUAACCAAAUACUAGAAUGUAUUUUCUAACUUAUUUUUCAUUACAUUACCAAACAUUAAAAAAUAAUUUAUUUUUUAGAAUUUAAUUCCUAAAAAAAAUUACUUUUCAAUAAAUAAACAGGGAUUUAACUAACACCUCCCGAGUCCUAACGGAUAUUAUGGACCCGCAGGGUACAUAUUGCCCCUCAUGAUCUUGCUUUCUUCUUCUAGGGCCCGCAUGUUGAUAUUGACCAUCUUGGGCACUUCCGUUCUCCAUUGCCAGAGACGUUCGAGGCAGUGAAGCUCCCCAUCCCGCAUUAACGGUGGUUCGCAUUGCGUUUUGAAAAUAUUUUAAAAAGAAAUUGAUUUUCUUUUAGAUCAAGGGAAUAUAAUGGGUCAUGUAUACAAACAAAAUUACCGACAUAACUGAUUCGUUUGUAAAAUCCAUCAAUACAUUUAUUAGUAAACUGUUAACUUUUUUCUAACAUUGUUUAUCCUGUUAAUUAUAAAGGAAAUUAUUGACGGAAUAUUUUAUCGGUAUUUUUUAAAGAACUUUGCAACUGUUUACUUUUCAAUUGUACUAUUAAUUAUUAUUUUUUAUAGAUGAAAUCAUUGACGGAUUGAAAAUCCAUCAGUGUUAUUUGACGAGUUUCUGAAAUUUUUUGAUUAAAUUAAAUAUUACAGUCACAGAUGGAAUCACCGACAGAUUGAAAAGUCAUAGGUGAUAUUUGACGGUUUCUGAAAAUUUUGUAUUAAAUUAAAAAUUUAAAUUAACUAUUACAGACGGAAUAAUUAACUGAAUAAUUAAAAAUAUUAAUAUUUAAUUAUUCAUCCGUAAAAUGCCUAAUAAAAAAACUAGAAUUCAUUAUUUCACAAUAGACUUGCCCUUUUUUUCUUCUUCUUUUUUUUUUAAAAAAAAACCAUCAACAUCUCUUUUUUUCUCUUCUCUCCUCAACUCCUUAUUUAUUUAUUUAUUUAAACGCAGCUUUUGAUUUUUGCUUUAAUGCUACAUUUGUUUAUGAGAUUAGUCUGCGUUUGAAGCAAAACGCAGGAGCAACAUGUUUGGUAAUGAAAAAACAUCAUUUACUGUUCAUGGACCCCAUUGUUAUUGGCCUUUGCAACGGAGGAUGAGACAAAGUAGCUCUUCGCUGCUUCUGUAGAGAGUGAACAGUGGAGGGUGACUCCACUAUUCCGGCUGGACUGGGUCCGGUUUAAAGUAUGCAUUAAACCAAGUUCGAUCCAGCAAAAUAAAAAAAUUAUUUUUUAUUUUUUAUUGUGUUUUAUUCAAUGUUUAAUAUUAUUCAAUGACAUUACAUAAACUAUAUGGGGAUUGCUUAAUGACGUAGUAUUUGUAGAAUUUAAUUUUAAUCCCACUUAAACUUAUUCUACUGUACACAUAACCCGAUGCUGCGGAUUAUGUUUUUUAUAAAAAAUAUUAAAAAUUUUAGCUGCAAAGCUAUACUAAAAAAUAUUGAGUUUGGCUCCAACACCUAAUCUAAGAGUAAUAUUUAUAAUGUUAAUAAUAAAAUUAAACUUGCAUGACUUAAGUUUAAGUGAGUCUGGCUAAAAGACCAGACCCAAGAAUAUUGGAUGUGAGUCUGGCUAUAAGAUCGUGUUAUAAAAAUAUGAUAAUUAAAUAGAUUAAUUAAAAAAAUAAAAAAAAAUCAACAGAAAGGAAAAAACUAAUAAAGAAAAAGAAAAAAAUUGAAUUAAUUAGGUUAACCCUUUAAACUAGGUUAUCCCGUAAAACCUGAGAUUCACGUCAUGAAAGUUUGAUAAUUAAAUAGAAAAAAAAAAGACUGGUUUACCCAGAAUUAACUGGGUUAACCCAUCAAACCAAGUUAACCCGUCAAGCCUAGGAUACGUGUUAUGAAAGUAUGAAAGUCUGAUAAUUAAAUAAAAAAAAAAUUGACUUUAACAAACUAAACUAAAUGAAAAAAAUAACUCAUCAAAUCAAGUUAACCUAUCAAACCCGAGAUCCGUAUUAUGAAAAUCUGGUAACUAAAUAAAAAAUUAACAUUAACAAACUAAAUCAAACAAAAAUUCAUUAAAAAAAUUAAAAAGAAAAAAAUAGUUAUUAAUAUAAUGUAAUAUAAUAAUAAUAAUAAUAAUAUAUAAUAAUAAGUAAGUAUAUUAGUAAAAGGCAUGACAUGCCCACACGAUGCCGCGGGCUUGUGGCAUGCUUGUACAUUAUCGUGGAUUUGUGAAAAAAAUCAUAUAAAAAAAUAUAGUUAUCAUCCACAAUAUUUUAAAGAAAAAAACUACAAAGCUAUAUUCUCAACCAGUUCAAUAUUAAAAAAACAAAAUCGACAAAAACAAUUAUAAAAAAACACACAAAAAUGAAAACAAGAAGAUGACAAUUUUGGAAGAAAAAAAAAAAAACAAUAAUAAAAAAAAAGGAAAAAAAAACAUGUGGGGAAAGUUAAAGCUAAAUUUUCAAUCAUCUCAAUAUUAAAAUCAUUUAAAAAACAUUGUAACGAUCUAAAGUGUUUUGUGUAAAAAUAUAUAACUAUAAUUGUUAACCAGCUCAAUAUUAAAAAAAUCAAUAAAGAUAAUUUUAAUAGAAAAUAAUUGGAUGUUGACAAGAAGAAGUAGAAAAUGUGGCAAGAAUAACCAAAAGCAGGGAUGAGGAGACAGCAGUGUUGGAUGAGAAAUGGCAAAGGUGAAAGUCUGGUGAUGGUCUUUACUGUUGCUAUUGAUCAAUUCUUCAUUACAUUAAAUGAAGGACGAAUUUUUUGCUUUUAGAAGGUGUGAUGUGUGCUUUAAACAAAAAACCCACCAUACCUCACAUAUUAAAGCGUGUUUAGUAGUAUGAUAAUAGUUACUUUUUAAAUAAUUUUUUAUGUUGAAAUGUAUAUCAAUGAUGUUUUUUUAUUUUUGUUAAAAAUCAUUUUUAAUAUCAGCAUAUUAAAACGAUCCAAAAAAUAUAAACUGUAUUAAAUUUUAAUAAAAAAAAUAAAAAAAACUUUUGAAUUUUUUAAAAACAUAGGUUGAACCGCGUUUCUAAACACUGCCUACGCUCGACUAUUAUAUUGAUUAGGCUCCACACGGUCGAGACUUGACUAGCUGUGCUUACAAUAAAGCAAUUCAAUUUUCAAAGAAGGAACAUGGCUGUGAUUUGAAGACAAGAUUUGUCUGCCGGUGUGAACCCAAACUUUUGUUCAAAAUGUGAGCCAAAAUCCAAUCUAAAUUAAUCUAGUAUAUCAAAAAGUUGUAUUUUUUUUUGUGGUUGUUAUAAUUCUCUCUCAUCAAUUAAAAAUUUUUAAUCUUUAAUAUUGAAUUUUUAGGUUUAAAAAAGGUAAAAAUAACAAGUAAUCAAUUCUUUUUCAUGUUAAUUAUGGUUUGUUUAUGAAAACAUUAAAAAAAAUAAGAUUUAUAAAGAUUUGAAGUUUAUGUUUUUAAAAUAAAUUCAUGAUUAUUAUAAAUUUGAGUUCAAGUGAUUAAUUUUAGAUGUGUUGUUAGAAAUAAGAAUUUGUGAAUUGAUUUGUUUAAUUAAUUUAUUAAGGGUUAAGAAAUUCGCUUCAACUUUGUUAGAAAAUUGGACAAAAUAAUUUUGAGGUUGAAGAUAAAGAAAUUGUAUUUUGGUCCUUGAUUUAUGAAAAUUACAGUGUAAUUCCUAAACAUUGAAAAAUUAUAAUUUGACCUCUAACUGUAUUUUGGGAUUCUGAGUGGUAUUAUUAUGAGGUUAAGGAUAAUGACUCUCAGUUUAAUAAUUGAUUUGGGAUCUUUUCAAUUUGGGCCUUUAAUUUUGAAAGUUUACAUUUUAGUCCCUGAUCUUUAAAGAAAUGAUAGUUCGGUCCUUGGUUCAUUUCUAGAUAGAAUUGAAAAUGGUUUGUUGGUAAAAUUUCAGUAUGGUUAUGUAUUUACAAUUUGCUCCUCCAAUUUUGGCAAAAUUUUGUUUUGGUUCGUGAUUUCUAAAAAAUAUCGUUUUAGUCCUUAAACUCAUAAGAAUAAACCUGUUUUAUUUUAUGCAUUGAAAUAUUUUAUUUGUUGUUUUGGGUUGUUUUUUAGUAUAUUCUAUAUAUUUUUUUAUAAGCUCCUAACAAUCAUCAAUAAAAUUGCCAUAGCUUGUUUUCGAAUGGAGAAUAAUUGGAUGCUGACAAGAAGUAGAAUAGGUGCAAGGAUAACCAAAAGCAGGGGUGUAAGCAAGAAAUGGCAUGUGUUGAGAAGACAGAGCAGUGUGAGAUGAGAAAUGGCAAAGGUAAAAGUGUUUGGUGAUGAGCUUUUCUUCUGCUAUCGAUCAAUUCUUCAUUACAUUAGUGAUUAAUAAUGUGGUGGUUCAAUUUUAUUAAGAUAUUAAAACUGCUGUCCCUGACUAUAUUGAAUAGGCUCCACACAGUUCAGACUACAUUUCAGACUUGACUAGCUAUGCUUACAAUAAAGCAAUUGAAGUUUCAAAGAAGGAACAUGGCUGUGAUUUGAAGACCGAAUUUGUCUACUUGAAUUGCCUUGUUUGUUAGCAAACGUCUUCUUCUCUAAGCUCAGUUUUUUUUUAUCAGUGUCCAGUGGCCUUCGGUGACCCCAUAACCAUGCAGCCAAGCUGCGCACUGGCCAGACCCUCGGAAGUCGGAAACACCAAUAUCUUCCAGCGCUAGUGAAUGCAAGUUGCCCAAGAUUGUAAAUGCAAGCGCAGAAACAAGUGCACCAGCCAUGUUCUCUUCUGAAGUGAAAAUGGGAACUGACACGGGUAAGAUAAAUGUUUUCCGACUAAGGUUAUUUUUCUUUUCUUUUAUGACAAGGAGAUAAGAUGAAGAAUGAUUCAAUGUCGCAAAAUCGACAAGAUCAAAAGGGUUCUAAAAUUAGAAGUGUAAGAUCAAAUGUAGGAAUUAGUUUACUUCGAAGGCACAACAGUCUUUGGAACAAAAAAAAAAAAAAAACUUGAUUACCCCAGAGACAGGACAACCAAGAACACACCAGUACGGCAUCCAUGGAGCUAUUUAACAUCUUUCUGUAUGCAGCAAGGUGGUCAUGGCCAUACCUGGUUUUGUUUCGAAGUUUUGAACCUCCAGAACCAUAUUUAUUUGAACAUUUAUGUUUACUCAAAUGGAAAAUCUAGACAGCAAACUUUAAUUUACAAUGCACUAGUGAACAGCCCUUCAUAAUCUGGAAAACAAUGUAAAUGCUAUUAUUAAUUGUUUCACCUUACUAACAAUUGACAGUUGCAAUUGAAAAUUUAACAGAAUGCUUAGGAACCUGAUGUUCUAUUUUUAGGGACUCCAAGAUCGAAGAACAGUGCACAGUGAACAUUUCUUUCCCGGAUUUAAUUCAAACCAAUGUGUUGCCAUCCAAUUAAUCUGGUAAUUAAAGAAGAAAGAAGGGUUCUUGAAUAACAAGAACAACAACAGAAGAAAAGAAACAGAGAGAAAGAGAAACUUUUAGUAACAUUCAACACUUAGUAUUUUUUUUUAAAAAACAAAAUUAACAUUCAACUCAAACCAUUAACGUUGGUUUUUUUUUUUUUUUUCCCUGAAUCACAGAAUAUCUUGUCCCAGCUUUCACGUACUAAACCAAGUCUUUACAGCCUGGAACCGAUCUUUACACAGUGUUAAGCCCCACAGCUCGCGGCCCUAUAAGAUUUGAUGCUAGAAAAAUUCAAACUGAAGAUCUGAAGAGAGUAAACCUCCAAGCCCACCAUUAAGUUCCACUAGACUAACCCCUCGAAGUUACCAUUUACAUUGUCUGCUUGCUAUUCAUACAUCAUUCAUGGUCAACUCAAUAUUUCACUAAUUUUCAUUUUAAAAAUAUUGGGAGAUAUGUCAAAUUCAUAUUGAUUAUAAUUUUAGAAAAAAAAAAAAAAAAAAAAGCAGUUAGAAUGAAUUGAUUGAAAAAGCAUCACUUAUUAGUUUCAUAGAUUGUAUUGCAGAAGAUAUUAAAUAAAAACAAAACACAAUACGCCUUCGACACCGAACUGCAAAUUACCUGGGAAUCUGAGCGAACGAAUCUGACGCCCUUGCCAGGAUAUGUCUUCGCCCCACUGAACCGGCAAAGUUCAGUCCUGAAAUCAUCCAGACCAGACAAGUUUAAUGCUCGUCAUGAUAACAUAUUGAAAACCUCAGAUGAGAUCAUUUGCAUAUAAAAAUGCUUCAUUCCAAGCCAUAUAAGUUUGAUGGUUAACAAUGGUGUCUCGAUGAGGUUAUUCGCACGGUCAUGACGAAUAUUCUCAGAGGUACAUCAGAUCCUAAAACCCCUUGGCAGACGCCCAAAAACCCUUUCAAGUGUCACAUAAUUUAUUUUUCUAGAAUUUAAUUUCUAAAAAAAAUUACUUUUCAAUAAAUAAAGAGGGAUUUAACUAACACCUCCCGAGUCCUAACGGAUAUUAUGGACCCGUAGGGUACAUAUUGCCCCUCAUGAUCUUGCUUUCUUCUUUUAGGGCCCGCAUGUUGAUAUUCACCAUCUUGGGCACUUCCGUUCUCCAUUGCCAGAGACGUUCGAGGCAGUGAAGCUCCCCAUCCCGCAUUAACGGUGGUUCUUCCCAUGAUGUUCUUCUAACUUUUUCCAGGUCCUGAGAAAAUAAGCUUGCAAAAAGUGAAGGUUAUAAAAUUGUCAUUCAGUAUCUUCCAGUUGAUGAAUAAUACUUACAUCUCGUCUCGUAAUUAGACGUAAUGUAUAUAACGUGGCAUUAGUUAAUUGGAAUUAAAAUAGAUUGUUUUAAAAAAAUCACUAGCAGAAUGACAUAUAAUAUUUUUAUUAGUUAUAUAAUAAGAUUUCUGAAAAAAAUACUGACAAAAUAAAACAUGUAAUUUUUUUUUGCAUGCUUUUCUGUCAAUAAAUUCAUCGAUAAUAAUAUUUUUUUAUUACAAACAAAUAAAAAUUUUUGAUUAAAGAUUCACUGAUAAGGUAUUUUUAUCUAUAAUUUUGUCAAUAAAUUAAUUACUAAUAAAAUAAUAACACAAAUACUAAUAAAAAAAAAUUCAUUAAUAAAUAUAAAAAUUUUAAUAGUGGAUAGGGGCCUGGUAGAGCUCAUGUCUUGACAAAGUCUAAAAAUGACAAGUGACAAGUUGACAACUUGUCAAAUUCAUAUACAUCUUGGUUGAGUAGCCAAAAAAAAACCAAUAAAUGCUGAUGUAUCAGUUUUAGUAAAAAAAAAACUUAUAACGUAGCUCGCGCUACAUUGCAGGUCAAUUUUUUUAUAUAAAAAAUAUUUAAAAAAGUUAAAAUUUUAAAGUGUUAGGUUUUUUUACAAAGUUAUACUUAAGAGCAUUGGGUCUAUCUAUUACUCCUAAUCCAAAAGUUAUAUUAAUAAUAAUAUUAAACUUGCAUGAUCCAAGUUUAAGUGAGUUUGGUUGCAACAUCAAACCUGAAGCCUUUGAUAUGAGUCUGGUUGCAAGAUUUUAUUAUAAAAAUGUGAUAAUUAAAAAGAAUAAAAAAUUAAUAUCACAGAAUAAAUAAAAAAUUAAUUGGAAAGAAAAAAAACAAUAAAGCAAAGCAUUAUUUCGAUGAAUAGUGCCUUGCAAGGAGGGGUACAGUAAAAUCCCCUCAUGAGAUCACAAUAAUUUAAUGACAAACAAAACAAAUUAUAAAUUUUAAUUCUUAAUCAAAUCGAUAUUAAAAAAAUGAAAUUGAAAGAAAAAAACUACUUAAGAAAAGGAAAAAGAAAAAUCUUAAUUAAUUGGUUUAACCCGUCAAACCUGAGAUUCGUGUCAUAAAAUUGAAAGAAAAAAGAAUGAUGUCUUUUAGUUAUAGUUAAUUACAAUAUUUAAAGAUGAAAUCGGAAGAAAAAACUAAUAAAGUAAAAGAAAAAAAAAUAUGAAUCAACUGGAUUGGCCCACCAAAUCAGGUUAACCCAUCAGACCUGAGAUCGUGUCAUGAGAGUGUGAUAACUAAAUAAAAAAAAAUUAACAUUAAUAAAAUAAAAUGAACAAAAAAAAGAUUAAUUAAAAAGAAAAAAAAGGAAAAAAAAAACCUACAUGAAGAAAAAGAAAAAAAAUCUGAAUUAACUGGGUUAACCCGUCAAACGAGGUUAAUCCGUCAAACCUGGGAUUCGUGUUAUGAAAGUUUGAUAACUAAAUAGAAAAAAACUUAAUAUUAACAAAAUAAAUUUUAAAAAAUAUAAUUAAAAAAAAAAGCAAAAAUACUAAACAAAAAAAAUAUUAAUUUAAAAAAAAAACAAAGAAAGAAAAGUCUGCAUGAAGAAAAAAACUAAUGAAGAAAAAGAAAAAAAAAUCCUAAUUAACUGGGUUAACCCUUCAAACCAAGUUAACUCGUCAAAUCUGGGAUUCGUGCCAUGAAUGUUUGAUAACUGAAUAGAAAAAAAAAAAUUUACGUUUUAACCUAGAAUUAGCUAGGUUAAUUCAUCAAACCCAGAAUCCGUGUCAUGAAAGUUUGAUAGCCAAAUAGAGAAAAUUUAACAUUAACAAACUAAAUUAAAUGAAAAAAUAAUUAAAAAGAAAAAUCAGAAAAAAUUCAGGUUAACGCGUCAAACCCAGGACCCAUGUAAUGAAAUUUUGAUAACUAAAUAAAAAAAAUUUAACAUUAAUAAAAAAAAUUAAACAAAAAAAAUAUUCAUUAAAAAAAACAAAAAAAACAAAACAACUUAAAAAAAACAAAGCAAAAGGCAAAAAAAAAAAACAGCUUAAAAAAGCAAAGCAAGCAAAAAAUAAAAGACAGAUAAGCGUUUCACUGUGGAUUGCAUUCGAAAAAAUUAAUUAAAAAGAAAAAUCAGGAAAAAAAAACCAGAUUAACCCAUCAAAUCCAAAACCUAUAUCAUAAAAAAUUGAUAAUUAAAUAGAAAAAAAAUUAACAUUAACAGAAAAACUCAUUCAUUAAAAAAAACAGCUUAAAAAAACAAAGAAAAGGAAAAAAAUAGUAAAAAAAACAAAGUAAAAACCAAAAAAAUUAAUAAAAAAAAGAAGAAGACAGAUGAGCUUUUUAUGUGGAUUGCUACAGUAAAAAACCGAUCCUUUUAGUAUAUUUCUAAUACCAGCAUUUAGAACCCUAUCGGACAUUCAAUUAAGUUUUAUUUGCGAAAUUGAACAAGCUUUUAAAAGCUAAUUUAAACACAUAAACGCAACAUUAAGGAAAAAAUUAUCAUUUAAUAAUGAUAAAACAUCACAAACAUAACGCAAGAAGUCAAAUGACUUCCUCGAAGCAAAUUUAUCAAACUUGGCCUGGGUUGACAGGUCGACCUGCGACCUGUUUACCCGGGCUUUCAAACUGGAUUGGAAAUUAAUUUUGUUAAACAAAGGUGAUAUGUUCUAUCAAUUAAUUUUUUUAAAUAAAAAACAACUUCGUUUAUUUAUGUUUAUUUAAUUAUUUAUACCUUUUAUAUCUAAACGAGCCUGGACUUAGAUCGAAUCAGAUGACGAGCCUGGUCUGAUAACUUAGCCUUGAAGUUUAUUCUGUUAGAUCAUUAUUGUUUGCUGUGUUAGGCAACAGAUAUCCCUCUAUUCAUACUCAGCUUAAUUUUUCAAUUUCGACUUUUAAAAAUAUGGAGAGAUAUAUGUCAAAUUCCUAUCGGUUCUGAUUUUAAGGAAAAAUAAAAAUUUAUUAAGAAUUAAAAAAAUGCUAUUUUUUAUAUAAUUUGAAAAAAAUAUUUUAAACUUUAUUUUAUAAAGCUAAAAAAUUACUAAAAAAUAUAUUUAAUUUAUAUUCAUGUAUACAAUACUUGUUAAUUUAUUUAAUACUUGUUAAUUUAUUUUUUAACUUUAUUUAAAGCCAACAAUGAUUAAAAAAUAUAUUUAAUUUUUAUAACACUUUUUUAUGUAUUCAUCAAAAUUUUCAUGAAAAAUUAAAUUGAAAAAUCAUGGCUAUGAAAAAACAAAAAUACUCAUUUACUCCCUCAAAUAUGUUUCAUCAGUAAAUCCAUAAUUUUUCUUCGCUGAAUAUCAUUAGAUUUUCAUAAAAAUAUAUUAUUAUAAAAGUGAACAUCUUAGUGAUUUUUUAAAAUUUUAUUAUUAUUUUUAGAGUUCUUAAUAAAAUUUUCUUUAAAUUAGAACCAAUAGAAAUCUAACUCGUGUUCUUCCAUAUCUUUAAAAGACAAAAUUAAUGAAAUAUUACGUUUACUCUGAACAGAGAGAUCUAUACUGCCUAGUAGACAAAAUCAUAGAAACCCAAUUAUAUAAAUUUAAACCAUAAGGAUAUCUUUAUCAAAUAUCAAUAUAUCAGAGAGAUUCAUAGUACCAUCAAACCAAAGUUAUACCUAAACUUGUCAUGCAAUAAAACACGUGCAUAUUCAUACAAUAAAAAUAAUAAAUAGACGUAUUUCUCCCUUUCUAUUACAAAGAUCAUUGCAAUACUUAGUAGAUGCAAACGGAAGGGAUGUGAGCUAUCUUAGGCCAGUCCUCUCCUCGCUCCUUCGAGCACCUUUUCUUCAAAUUUGGACAAUGGUUAAUCAUCAAGUGGCUGAGGUUGCUGAGACUCUGUAGCCCUUCUGGCAAACAUACCAAAUUAGGGCAAUCCUGAAUUUCCAGGCGUGAAAGGGAUAUGAGAUAACCAAUCUGAUUUGGCAAGGAAGUUAAUCCCUUGCAUUCAUAGAGUCUUAGAGAUCGGAGAGAAGUAAGAUGUUGGAUACUCUUUGGCAAUGAAUUCAGCUCUGGACAAAGUUCAAGCUCCAAGAUUUCAAGUGCCGUCAGAUAUUGCACUCCCUCGGACAGAGACACAAAUUUAUCACAAUUUCUAACAGAUAACCUACGAAGAGAAGAUAAGCCGGACAACCCAUUCAUUGGCAGAGUGUAUAAUCUUGUACAACUAUUUAUCUGUAAAACCUCCAAAGAAGUGAGUUUUCGAAGACCUUCCUCUGGCAAGCUUUCAAGUUCAUAACAAUGCUGGAUACUCAAGCUUUUAAGAGCUGAAAGGUUGUCAAAUACCUUAUUUGACAAAGACGAUAGAUUUCUCAUCCCAACCAUACAUAAGGACUCGAGGAGUGUAUGAUUUUGCAAGAACCCAUCUGGAAUCAGCCUCGCAUCAAUCCUUGCAAUAAAAAGGUAUGUGAUAGAAGUAAAUUUCAUAACUGACAUCAGUAACGAAACAUUGCCUUCAGUGAUGUGUAAGCUUUUGACGGAAGGUAUAAUUGGUAUUUCGGUCAACAAGGGGCAAAGAACUACAGAUAAUGCUUUAAGACGAGGAAAACUACACGGAGCCCAUUGCUCUAGUCUCUCCAUUGAAAUAAAUGUCAGGCUCUCCAAAGAUGGGAAUGGAUUUUGCUCAUCUCCAUACACAUGGCUGUCAAUACACUUCACACCAUCCAUUCCAUCUAGUUCAAGAUUCUUGAGGAACUGUAAUUUCCCAAAUGGUGGAAGUUGUUCACAGUUGCCACAUGCUGUUAGCUUCAUCUCUACUAGAUUCGGUAGCAUCAAGUUCAAGUUCAUCAUCCACUUUGGAAAUUUUGAACCCCCAUAUCCAAUUAAUCUCAAUUUCUUCAGAUUUGAAUGAGGUUGAAGCCCAUCAAGGACAUCCUCAUUACUUUCAGCUGAUUGCACACAAGUAAAAGGGCGGCGACCUCCAUUCUCAUUCCAAGAUAAAUUCAGUGAUAGAAGAGUUGUCUUCAACUUCAAAUUGGCACUUCUGGCAUCUGUUAAAUUCUUAACAUUAACAAGAUCUGUGAUGCUUAGUUCACCAGCAAGAUUAUUCAGCCUUUCUAGCUCCCCUAA
Molecule: long non-coding RNA, 27770 nt
Filed under: Populus tremula
Lineage: Eukaryota; Viridiplantae; Streptophyta; Magnoliopsida; Malpighiales; Salicaceae
Description: long non-coding RNA (PTRE_LNC001310)
Source: RNAcentral